CCUACGGGAGGCAGCAGUGAGGAAUAUUGGUCAAUGGACGAGAGUCUGAACCAGCCAAGUAGCGUGAAGGAUGACUGCCCUAUGGGUUGUAAACUUCUUUUAUAUGGGAAUAAAAUGUUCCACGUGUGGGAUUUUGUAUGUACCAUAUGAAUAAGGAUCGGCUAACUCCGUGCCAGCAGCCGCGGUAAUACGGAGGCUCCGAGCGUUAUCCGGAUUUAUUGGGUGUAAAGGGAGCGUAGGUGGAUUGUUAAGUCAGUUGUGAAAGUUUGCGGCUCAACCGUAAAAUUGCAGUUGAAACUGGCAGUCUGGAGUGCGGUAGAGGUAGGCGGAAUUCGUGGUGUAGCGGUGAAAUGCUUAGAUAUCACGAAGAACUCCGAUUGCGAAGGCAGUUCACUGGACUGCAACUGACACUGAGGCUCGAAAGUGUGGGUAUCAAACAGGAUUAGAUACCCUUGUAGUC
Molecule: ribosomal RNA, 460 nt
Filed under: uncultured bacterium
Lineage: Bacteria
Description: partial 16S ribosomal RNA
Rfam family: Bacterial small subunit ribosomal RNA
Source: RNAcentral